UACAGAGGUCUCAAGCGUUGUUCGGAUUCAUUGGGCGUAAAGGGUGCGUAGGCGGCGCGGUAAGUCGGGUGUGAAAUCUUGGAGCUUAACUCCGAAACUGCAUUCGAUACUGCCGUGCUUGAGGACUGGAGAGGAGACUGGAAUUUACGGUGUAGCGGUGAAAUGCGUAGAUAUCGUAAGGAAGACCAGUGACGAAGGCGGGUCUCUGGACAGUUCCUGACGCUGAGGCACGAAGGCCAGGGGAGCAAACGGG
This 253-nucleotide ribosomal RNA is filed under the name uncultured bacterium. RNAcentral describes it as "partial 16S ribosomal RNA". It matches the Rfam family "Bacterial small subunit ribosomal RNA", at positions 524 to 776 of the family's 1533-position model. The record is from RNAcentral.